This is a long non-coding RNA of Centropristis striata (black sea bass), 424 nucleotides long. RefSeq lists it as uncharacterized. The record is from RefSeq and is a predicted model, not a curated record. Lineage: Eukaryota; Metazoa; Chordata; Actinopteri; Perciformes; Serranidae. The transcript is spliced from 3 exons.
CAGAUCAUGUGUUCUCCAACAAAGGGGGGGAAAGUUUUCUUACAAUGAGGAAAGUCAGUCUACCAGUACAGAUGUCUGUUCAGAAAUGGAUCCAACAGGUCAGUCUCUUCCAGCGUCCAACAGCGAGGCUAAAGGUCACCUGGGCUUCUUCAGGCAUAUGAGCAGCAGAGGACAGGGCUGGAGAGAAGCAUAUCUCACCUCUGAACGACAUUCACAGCAUUAUUAUUGCCCACUGCGACUUCCACGCUGAGCCUCGUCUUCAUAUGCAUCAUACAUUGGCAUUUAUUAGUGCCAUGCACUAAGUACGGGCCAUGUUAUUGAAUUUGAAUAUCACCUCCUAGCCACAUCCACAGGCCCUGGAAAUAUAUUAUAUUAAGAUGAAGCAAUCUCAUUUAAUAACACCCAAACUAAUAAAAGGAGAGCA